GUUCUAUUCUCUUCCUUUAAAUGCAAAUUACAUCAUUUUUUUAUUUCAAUUAUUGCUGUGUUGUUACAAUUCUUGAGUGAUUGCUGAUAGGAUUAGGAUUAGGAAUAGGAAUUCAACUAUUAAAUAGAAAGUUGGGGUUUGAUGAAAAAAGGGCAAAUUGCACUGACACCCCUGAGGUUUAUCAUUCUUGCACUGACAUCGUCUCUAUUAUUUAACAAGACACUAACAACCCUUAUUUUAUUGCGAACAUUGUACUAACCUUCCCUGAGGUUUAUCAUUAUUGCAUUGACCUCCCCUCGGAUUUAUCAUUAUAACACUCUCUACCCUUCUAUUCUAAAUGAUAUAUGGUAGGGUUUAAUAAUUUGAACAUGUGUUGAGACAAACCGUGUAAGCAUCAGAGUCAAUAGUUAGGGAUAAAAGCAGAACAAGGAAAACUACAGGUAAAAAUUGAGGCUUGUUAUAGACUGUACAUAGUUAUUGGCUGUGUCUAAGAAAUAAAAAGUAAAAGAUAUUCUAUUCAUACCAUCUUUCUAGUCUCUACAUUUAUAGACCAUCACUACAAUCAGGGAAUGCAGCUGUGCAGGAAGUGCAAUCUAAUCAGUAGUCAUGUAGGUUGGUAAGAAUUCAUUGAACUUGGGGAGAGUUCUUGGGAUCUUAACCAAAAAUUACUUUUGAGGCAUUUCAUUAGUUUCAAUUAGAAAUUAUCUGGUGAGUGGUGACUAAUUCUUUGAGCAAAUGGUAAGAUGUUAACAGAAGUUACAGAACUAUGAAUACCAGCAAUAUUCUUCAAGUCCCUAUUUGAAAUGUUGACCCUGAUUCUCCACUCUAAACUUCAUAUUCUGUCUGCCAUUGUGAGAUGCUGCUUCCUUGUGAUAUGACUAACAGACC
Lotus japonicus is the source of this 888-nucleotide long non-coding RNA. RefSeq lists it as uncharacterized. NCBI's taxonomy places the organism in Eukaryota, Viridiplantae, Streptophyta, Magnoliopsida, Fabales, Fabaceae. The transcript is spliced from 2 exons. The record is from RefSeq and is a predicted model, not a curated record.